Molecule: long non-coding RNA, 408 nt
Organism: Phlebotomus papatasi
Lineage: Eukaryota; Metazoa; Arthropoda; Insecta; Diptera; Psychodidae
Exons: 4
Source: RefSeq, a predicted model, not a curated record
CUUGGAAUCCGAGUAGUCCGAGCUUUUUUUCUCCGCGAGAUUUUGUCAAUUUUCCUCGAGAAAAGUGAAUUUUAUGUAGUGAAUUUUCCGUGAAAGUGAAGUGUAAAUUGGACUGCAGUGAAUCAUGUGAAAAAUGCCAAGCCUCCAGGGGGAAAACCACCUGAAAAAAGGUUCUGCAAAGAGGUCUUGACAAUCAGAGAAACAGCUUAGCACAAAAAAAAGGUACAUCAUUCUGGAUAUAUUCUCGACACAGACUGCAUUUUCCAUUACCCAGUGGAGAAUUCGCUGUGAGUGGACAUUUUAUUUCAUUUGCACCCCUCUCGAUUCGUGAGUGAUUAAAAAUCAACGCAAAUUAAAAAGUGUUCUAAAUUCUGUCCAGUUUCCAGUUCAAAAGUUGCACCGCCAUUU